Molecule: non-coding RNA, 78 nt
Filed under: Rhodobacter capsulatus SB 1003
Lineage: Bacteria; Pseudomonadati; Pseudomonadota; Alphaproteobacteria; Rhodobacterales
Source: RNAcentral
GUUCCGCAAGGGACUAUGGGUGUAGACGGGCCAACUAGGCUGGAUCGGACGGGGGUGCGAAUCCCCCCACCUCCACCA